AGUGAACGCUGGCGGUAGGCCUAACACAUGCAAGUCGAACGGCAGCACAGUAAGAGCUUGCUCUUACGGGUGGCGAGUGGCGGACGGGUGAGGAAUACAUCGGAAUCUACUUUUUCGUGGGGGAUAACGUAGGGAAACUUACGCUAAUACCGCAUACGACCUACGGGUGAAAGCAGGGGAUCUUCGGACCUUGCGCGAUUGAAUGAGCCGAUGUCGGAUUAGCUAGUUGGCGGGGUAAAGGCCCACCAAGGCAACGAUCCGUAGCUGGUCUGAGAGGAUGAUCAGCCACACUGGAACUGAGACACGGUCCAGACUCCUACGGGAGGCAGCAGUGGGGAAUAUUGGACAAUGGGCGCAAGCCUGAUCCAGCCAUACCGCGUGAGUGAAGAAGGCCUUCGGGUUGUAAAGCCCUUUUGUUGGGAAAGAAAAGCAGCAGGUUAAUACCCCGCUGUUCUGACGGUACCCAAAGAAUAAGCACCGGCUAACUUCGUG
RNAcentral lists this ribosomal RNA (492 nucleotides) under uncultured bacterium. RNAcentral describes it as "partial 16S ribosomal RNA". It matches the Rfam family "Bacterial small subunit ribosomal RNA", at positions 29 to 507 of the family's 1533-position model. The record is from RNAcentral.